AUGGAGCCGACCUUGAAAUACCACCCUUUAAUGUUUGAUGUUCUAACGUUGACCCGUAAUCCGGGUUGCGGACAGUGUCUGGUGGGUAGUUUGACUGGGGCGGUCUCCUCCUAAAGAGUAACGGAGGAGCACGAAGGUUGGCUAAUCCUGGUCGGACAUCAGGAGGUUAGUGCAAUGGCAUAAGCCAGCUUGACUGCGAGCGUGACGGCGCGAGCAGGUGCGAAAGCAGGUCAUAGUGAUCCGGUGGUUCUGAAUGGAAGGGCCAUCGCUCAACGGAUAAAAGGUACUCCGGGGAUAACAGGCUGAUACCGCCCAAGAGUUCAUAUCGACGGCGGUGUUUGGCACCUCGAUGUCGGCUCAUCACAUCCUGGGGCUGAAGUAGGUCCCAAGGGUAUGGCUGUUCGCCAUUUAAAGUGGUACGCGAGCUGGGUUUAGAACGUCGUGAGACAGUUCGGUCCCUAUCUGCCGUGGGCGCUGGAGAACUGAGGGGGGCUGCUCCUAGUACGAGAGGACCGGAGUGGACGCAUCACUGGUGUUCGGGUUGUCAUGCCAAUGGCACUGCCCGGUAGCUAAAUGCGGAAGAGAUAAGUGCUGAAAGCAUCUAAGCACGAAACUUGCCCCGAGAUGAGUUCUCCCUGACUCCUUGAGAGUCCUGAAGGAACGUUGAAGACGACGACGUUGAUAGGCCGGGUGUGUAAGCGCAGCGAUGCGUUGAGCUAACCGGUACUAAUG
RNAcentral lists this ribosomal RNA (732 nucleotides) under Escherichia coli. RNAcentral describes it as "partial 23S ribosomal RNA". It matches the Rfam family "Bacterial large subunit ribosomal RNA", at positions 2180 to 2906 of the family's 2925-position model. Lineage: Bacteria; Pseudomonadati; Pseudomonadota; Gammaproteobacteria; Enterobacterales; Enterobacteriaceae. The record is from RNAcentral.